GACGAACGCUGGCGGCGUGCUUAACACAUGCGAGUCGAACGGAAAGGCCCUGCUUUUGUGGGGUGCUCGAGUGGCGAACGGGUGAGUAACACGUGAGUAACCUGCCCUUGACUUUGGGAUAACUUCAGGAAACUGGGGCUAAUACCGGAUAGGAGCUCCUGCUGCAUGGUGGGGGUUGGAAAGUUUCGGCGGUUGGGGAUGGACUCGCGGCUUAUCAGCUUGUUGGUGGGGUAGUGGCUUACCAAGGCUUUGACGGGUAGCCGGCCUGAGAGGGUGACCGGCCACAUUGGGCCUGAGGUACGGCCCAGACUCCUACGUUAGGCAGCAGUGGGGAAUAUUGCACAAUGGGCGGAAGCCUGAUGCAGCAACGCCGCGUGCGGGAUGACGGCCUUCGGGUUGUAAACCGCUUUCGCCUGUGACGAAGCGUGAGUGACGGUAAUGGGUAAAGAAGCACCGGCUAACUACGUG
Molecule: ribosomal RNA, 468 nt
Filed under: uncultured bacterium
Lineage: Bacteria
Description: partial 16S ribosomal RNA
Rfam family: Bacterial small subunit ribosomal RNA
Source: RNAcentral